RNAcentral lists this ribosomal RNA (226 nucleotides) under Pseudomonas sp. Its description in RNAcentral is "partial 16S ribosomal RNA". It matches the Rfam family "Bacterial small subunit ribosomal RNA", at positions 556 to 782 of the family's 1533-position model. The record is from RNAcentral. Lineage: Bacteria; Pseudomonadati; Pseudomonadota; Gammaproteobacteria; Pseudomonadales; Pseudomonadaceae.
GGGCGUAAGCGCGCGUAGGUGGUUUGAUAAGUUGGAUGUGAAAGCCCCGGGCUCAACCUGGGAAUUGCAUCCAAAACUGUCUGACUAGAGUAUGGCAGAGGGUGGUGGAAUUUCCUGUGUAGCGGUGAAAUGCGUAGAUAUAGGAAGGAACACCAGUGGCGAAGGCGACCGCCUGGGCUAAUACUGACACUGAGGUGCGAAAGCGUGGGGAGCAAACAGGAUUAGA